GGGACUCGGAGUGGUGCCGUCGACUGGCAGGACUCAGAAAGGAAGGGUUCCGUUGUUUUACAGCUUGCCACUAGGAUGCCCUUGCUCAAAUGCAUAGUGCUGCCCCCGAGGCCGGUUUGAAGUUCCAUUGUAGCACUCAACAGCAACGCAGCAACGCCCUUUCCCCUUCUUCGUUCUCCUAGACCCAGAGAACAUACCCCUCAUCCUUGGCUGCUAUGGGCGAAUCUCUGGAUUUGAUUAUAUUAACACGAGCAGUUCUAUUUCCUACUGGUCUGGCCAAACCUACCUCUGUGCAAUGGGGGGGGGGGGUGGUUAUUUUUAGCCGGCUCCCUAGAACAAAAUGUCCCGUCUCUCUCUUUCUCUUCAUCUAAAUCUCUUUGCUGGUUGCCUAUCUGAUAUUUAAAAUGAUCAGCUUCCCCAGUCAGACUACCUGUUAUAGGAAUUGGCUCCCAUCGCUUGACAAAUCAUAUAAAUAAGUCACGACCGUACGUCUAAGUGAAGAAUUGUUUCUCAACUGUCACAGGGAAACCCGCAAUCUCAAACUGCAGGUCUAUUGCAGGUGUUACCUUACUGCAUGAUCAUUCUAUACAUGACAACUGUACAUUGAUUUGCGUUAAUGGAGUGCACAGCCAUCAAAAUAAAUAAGAGCUGAUCAAAAUAUUGCCAUGUGCUCUUGGCCCUUUGAUAAACACAUUUUGUCAGCUCUCACUGAGCAGCUUUUAGAGCUCCAUAUGUAUUUCAUAAAUAUCCCAGCAAACGUGGGUCCCAUUUUAAUAACAUUUCAAUAACCCUCUUCCCCCCAACUUUGCAUGUUAAAAUAUAGUUAAACAGACUGAAACAUAUUAAAACAUUUAUCUCUCAUCUAAACCUGAUAUUAACACCUGGAUCCAUUUUUAACAGCAUGGUUUAGAGUGUUUUGCUACAAGCAAUUCAACAUAAAUACAAACAUCAUCACGAAGAGAACAACAAGUGAGGAAGGAGGAGGAAAAAGGAAACUCUUUUAUCAAAUGAUGAUGAAAUAAAUAUUGAAUAAUAGUCCAGUCAUUUGAAAAUACCCUUUGUGAGAUCUUUAGAACUAUAGCGACACAGAGAAAUAAUCUGGUUUAUAGAAUUAUCUGAUCUGGCCUACAGACUGUUGAUGAUCAAUAUUCUUCAGUACACACUACUUUAACAAAUAAGAGUAACUAAUUUAUGUUCCUUGUCCCCCGCCCCCCAGCACCGCCCCUCCACCAGAACUCCUUCCAUUGCAGCGAGCGGUCAUCUUCCUUCCGAUUUUCUGACAUUUCUAAAAAUAUCCUGUACCUCUAUAGCAUCACAAUUAGGCAGGGAAGAGGGGAGAUAAAAGAGGAGAGAAAAAGCCAUGCAAACUAUUUUUUUUUUACGGUAGGGCUGAAGUUUGAUCUUGGUAUUUCUACUAAAGGAUGAAAAACAACCCCUUUUCACACGCUCCAAACCUCUAGACUCAGAGAAGAAUACAAUCACUGUGCAGUAAAGAGGAGGCAAAAAUCCUGGUAGGGUAACGAUUAUUGUUAUGACAAGGAGCAAUAGCUGCUAUGUUAUAGAAAUAGUGUUAUGAAGAAACUGCGAAUGAACAGACAUUAAGAUAAACACUAACAAACUGCACCUAACAAGUCUAUUGUGUUUGUGAUAUUUGGCGUUCUCUUAAGUCUCGUUUAGUUUUUAAAUCGUUAUUGUUCUGUUCAUUCAUUCAUACAUAUGUACAUUGCUUCCCAUUUACUGUAAUUUCAGCAAGCUACUCUGAAAUUGUAUUCCAAAGGAACAGAAGUUCUAUUCUUUCUCUGUAUAUACAUCAAUAAAUGUAUCUCUCCAUUCUGCAGUCAAUCCUACGAAUAGUAAUAAAUCAAUUUAUAAUACAUUAACAAUAUAAAGGCUUCUAAUACAUCUGUUCUUUGUGACUUACUGCAAUUUAGUUGAUUUCCAAUGGCAUUUGCAAAAUGAUAAUAUAACCUCGAGACUCGGGGAAAACAUACAAAAAUGCAAAGCAGUACAGGGAAUGAGAUACAUAAAGUUACUAUUUUCAAUAUAAACAAAAUUAAGAUAUUUAAACUGGCAGAUAUAUGAAAAGCAGCUAUAGGGGUAGAUAUUAUGCACACAUAUCUAUCGCAAGCAGCCAGCGGAUAUCCCACCACCUUUCCACAUAUGCUUUUUAUGUCACAAACUCUACUACUCGAUUACAUGUACUGGCACGAACUGCAAACUGCAACUCAAAUCAGUGCUUCUAAAAAGAAUAAUAAAACAGGGAGCGAGCAGAACAUUCUCCCAGCUUCACGGAGUAAUAAAAACCCCCAUAAAAGAUGAAAUAUAAAAAAGAAUAGUCCACAAACAAAAUACAAGUCAGUUGCUGGAGGCGAGAUGUGCAUGCUUUAAUUUCGGGAGUUAGCAUGAGCACUGGGAGCUUCAUUUAAGAGCUACAUUCGAUUCCCUCCUAGUUUUAAAGAGGCAUGUUUCGCCACUAGAAUGAUGGCUCCUUUCUCUCUCUCUCAUUCCUUUCUAGAGUUCAGACUUUUGUGAGCAUUCGUCCACAGACUGUUUCGAAAGCACAAACUCUUGCUUUCCGAGGUUUUGCCCUACAAUGCCCUGCGUCCCUGAAAUAUCAAAUCAGCAGGAUUUUUUCACGGAUCUGUCCCAUUUCAUUUCCACCUGCUCAGAGAAGUCUGGGGAAUGGCCAUCCCACUUUGUUCCUGAAGACAAAGAGCAAGCUGAAGCCUUCACCAGCUGUAAAAAAAGGCUGAGGAGCCAUUACCUGUAAGUGGCCUUCAUUUGGCAGGAAAAGGUGCAGGUGUUAAAAGAAAAAACCCUCUACAUUUUAGCAUGAUUCUCAGGGAGUUUUGGUUCAGAUUCAUUGUUGCAAUGAGGAAAAGGUUGUUACCUGCGCUCCUCCCCAGAAGUGCCUGAUUUGCCGCUCGUGGUCAGGUGAGUGAAUUCCUAAAGGCUAAUGGAGGACCUGUGAAAUCCAUGAAAGACUCAAUUGCUGAGACCUUAAACAAAAUAACAGACUGUUUGAAUCACUGGCUUGUAAGCUUUAAGAUUAAGGAACUACAAAUUCUAUUGUUGGCACAAUAUUCCAGCAAUUCUUAAUUGGCUUCAAGAUCACCAGGGGUCCCAUAAUUAUCAAAUAAUUCCAUGGAUUCUUCCCAGAAAACAAAUCCAAACACAAGUGAGAGGUCUUUUACUUGUGAUGCAUGCUCAGCUGAACAGUUGCUAUUGAACUGGAAGGCAGAUCUCAAACCUCUAGCAGAGCUGAAAGCCUCCAAGAUAGUUCCCCAAUGCUAUAGUUAGAGACAUAAAACACAUGCUACUUGUAGGACAAGCAUUUAAAACGUAGAGGUUUUUCACCUUCCUCUGUAGCAUGGGGUACAGAUCACAGCU
This is a non-coding RNA of Pelodiscus sinensis (Chinese soft-shelled turtle), 3390 nucleotides long. The record is from RefSeq and is a predicted model, not a curated record. NCBI's taxonomy places the organism in Eukaryota, Metazoa, Chordata, Testudines, Trionychidae.